GAAUUUCUACGAUCUGCUGAGAUUCAGCCCGUCUCCUUAGAUUUAUCUCAUCUCCCUUUA
This 60-nucleotide ribosomal RNA is filed under the name Tetrahymena thermophila. Its description in RNAcentral is "partial ribosomal RNA". Lineage: Eukaryota; Ciliophora; Oligohymenophorea; Hymenostomatida; Tetrahymenidae. The record is from RNAcentral.